Molecule: ribosomal RNA, 208 nt
Filed under: uncultured bacterium
Lineage: Bacteria
Description: partial 16S ribosomal RNA
Rfam family: Bacterial small subunit ribosomal RNA
Source: RNAcentral
GAGCGUAGACGGAUGGGCAAGUCUGAUGUGAAAACCCAGGGCUUAACCCUGGGACUGCAUUGGAAACUGUCUGGCUCGAGUGCCGGAGAGGUAAGCGGAAUUCCUAGUGUAGCGGUGAAAUGCGUAGAUAUUAGGAGGAACACCAGUGGCGAAGGCGGCUUACUGGACGGCAACUGACGUUGAGGCUCGAAAGCGUGGGUAGCAAACA